CCAAUAUUUGGCGGGACAUAUGCAUACAAAUAGACUGGACUAGAUAUCCUUCGCGCACACGCCAUUACAGUCUUGAGACGUCAUUAUGUCACUUUUAUAUUCUUGGUAGAAAUAAAAUUUUGCUCGAUCGAGCUUCUUCCACCAGACGACUUUUUACCUGGUGAUGUCACGACCCGGAAGUCCCAUACCCGAGGUUUACUUGUCUGGAUGUGAUUUCCCAGCACAGAGAUCUUUCGUCCCAUGGUUGUGCCUUAACCGCCAAGACCCUGAUUUUUGUAGUCAACUGAGACAGCUCAGGGAUACAAACACCUAUAAACACCGGACAUGGGGAGCCAAAAAGGAGCCAACGCCUUCGCGAUAUAGUGGGACAUUAUUUUACAAAAGAUUAGUUCUUAGUGCUACUUUAAGUUUUAAGUAAUAGUAAACAUCUGUUAAAUCGUCACGAGGACAAACAACUGUAAUUAAUAGAAAUGGACAUCUUUUAGAAAUCGGAUUUUGAGUUCAGUUUUUUUUCUUCUUUCUUUUCUUCUAUUUAGUUUUUUUUUUCUUUAUUCAUUGUAAAUAAUCAUUUUUCUGUAAAUAAACUUGUAAAUAUUGU
Mercenaria mercenaria is the source of this 598-nucleotide long non-coding RNA. RefSeq lists it as uncharacterized. NCBI's taxonomy places the organism in Eukaryota, Metazoa, Mollusca, Bivalvia, Venerida, Veneridae. The transcript has 2 exons. The record is from RefSeq and is a predicted model, not a curated record.